GAUGAAGAACGUAGCGAAAUGCGAUAAGUAAUGUGAAUUGCAGAAUUCAGUGAAUCAUCGAAUCUUUGAACGCACAUUGCGCCCGCCAGUAUUCUGGCGGGCAUGCCUGUUCGAGCGUCAUUUCAACCCUCAAGCCCCAGCGGCCUGGUGUUGGGGACCGGCGACCUCGCCCGAGCCCGCCCUCCGGGGCGCGUGCCCGGUGCGUCCGCCGCCCCCGAAAUGAAUUGGCGGCCUCGUCGCGGCCUCCUCUGCGUAGUAGCACAACCUCGCAAGCGGGAGCGCGACGCGGCCACUGCCGCAAAACGCCCAACUUUUUUAGAGUUGACCUCGGAUCAGGUAGGAAUACCCGCUGAACUUAAGCAUAUCAAUAAGCGGAGGA
RNAcentral lists this unclassified non-coding RNA (379 nucleotides) under soil metagenome. RNAcentral describes it as "partial contains 5.8S ribosomal RNA, internal transcribed spacer 2, and large subunit ribosomal RNA". The stretch from base 1 to 120 matches the Rfam family "5.8S ribosomal RNA", at positions 35 to 154 of the family's 154-position model. The record is from RNAcentral.